Molecule: ribosomal RNA, 495 nt
Filed under: uncultured bacterium
Lineage: Bacteria
Description: partial 16S ribosomal RNA
Rfam family: Bacterial small subunit ribosomal RNA
Source: RNAcentral
GACGAACGCUGGCGGCGUGCCUAAUACAUGCCAGUAGAACGCUGAAGGAGGAGCUUGCUCUUCUGGAUGAGUUGCGAACGGGUGAGUAACGCGUAGGUAACCUGCCUGGUAGCGGGGGAUAACUAUUGGAAACGAUAGCUAAUACCGCAUAACAGUAGAUGUUGCAUGACAUUUGCUUAAAAGGUGCAAUUGCACCACUACCAGAUGGACCUGCGUUGUAUUAGCUAGUUGGUGGGGUAACGGCUCACCAAGGCGACGAUACAUAGCCGACCUGAGAGGGUGAUCGGCCACACUGGGACUGAGACACGGCCCAGACUCCUACGGGAGGCAGCAGUAGGGAAUCUUCGGCAAUGGACGGAAGUCUGACCGAGCAACGCCGCGGGAGUGAAGAAGGUUUUCGGAUCGUAAAGCUCGGUUGUAAGAGAAGAACGAGUGUGAGAGUGGAAAGUUCACACUGUGACGGUAUCUUACCAGAAAGGGACGGCUAACUACGUG